AUUGAACGCUGGCGGCAGGCCUAACACAUGCAAGUCGAACGAGUGGCGGACGGGUGAGUAAUGUCUGGGAAACUGCCUGAUGUAGGGGGAUACCUCCUGGAAACGGUAGCUAAUACCGCAUACCAUCAGAUUUUCCCAGAUGUGAUUAGCUAGUUGGUGGGGUAACGGCUCACCAAGGCGACGAUGCAUAGCCGACCUGAGAGGAUGAUCGGCCACAAUGGAACGGAGACACGGUCCAGACUCCUACGGGAGGCAGCAGUGGGGAAUAUUGCACAAUGGGCGCAAGCCUGAUGCAGCCAUGCCGCGUGAAUGAAGAAGGCCUGCGGGUUGUAAAGUGCUUUCAGCGGGGAGGCGUUACCCGCAGAUGAAGCACCGGCUAACUCCGUGCCAGCAGCCGCGGUAAUUC
RNAcentral lists this ribosomal RNA (406 nucleotides) under uncultured bacterium. RNAcentral describes it as "partial 16S ribosomal RNA". It matches the Rfam family "Bacterial small subunit ribosomal RNA", at positions 30 to 526 of the family's 1533-position model. The record is from RNAcentral.